This is a non-coding RNA of Aspergillus tanneri, 88 nucleotides long. Lineage: Eukaryota; Fungi; Ascomycota; Eurotiomycetes; Eurotiales; Aspergillaceae. The record is from the annotation of a RefSeq genome assembly.
GACACUUUGGCCGAGUGGUUAAGGCGCAAGCCUGCUAUUAUGUUAGCUUGUGGGUUCGCCCGCGUGAGUUCGAGUCUCACAGGUGUCG